Non-coding RNA from Vicia faba (fava bean), 168 nucleotides. NCBI's taxonomy places the organism in Eukaryota, Viridiplantae, Streptophyta, Magnoliopsida, Fabales, Fabaceae. The record is from the annotation of a GenBank genome assembly.
AUGCAAGUUAUCACGACACAUUCCUUAACAUCACUACAGACAACAGAAAUAGUUCUGGAGUUUACCCCAAAAUCAAAAUUCCAAGUUGGCUUUUUGUAUCUCAUUUCCAUCCACGCAACCGUUCAAAAGGAUAAGCAGCAGCAACAUCAAACAUAUAUGAAAGUAUAA